AAAAAGAACCUGAAACCGUGUACGUACAAGCAGUGGGAGCACAGGUUUACCUGUGUGACUGCGUACCUUUUGUAUAAUGGGUCAGCGACUUAUAUUCUGUAGCAAGGUUAACCGUAUAGGGGAGCCGGAGGGAAACCGAGUCUUAAUUGGGCGUUAAGUUGCAGGGUAUAGACCCGAAACCCGGUGAUCUAGCCAUGGGCAGGUUGAAGGUUGGGUAACACUAACUGGAGGACCGAACCGACUAAUGUUGAAAAAUUAGCGGAUGACCUGUGGCUGGGGGUGAAAGGCCAAUCAAACCGGGAGAUAGCUGGUUCUCCCCGAAAGCUAUUUAGGUAGCGCCUCGUGAAUUCAUCUCCGGGGGUAGAGCACUGUUUCGGCUAGGGGGCCAUCCCGGCUUACCAACCCGAUGCAAACUGCGAAUACCGGAGAAUGUUAUCACGGGAGACACACGGCGGGUGCUAACGUCCGUCGUGAAGAGGGAAACAACCCAGACCGCCAGCUAAGGUCCCAAAGUCAUGGUUAAGUGGGAAACGAUGUGGGAAGGCCCAGACAGCCAGGAUGUUGGCUUAGAAGCAGCCAUCAUUUAAAGAAAGCGUAAUAGCUCACUGGUCGAGUCGGCCUGCGCGGAAGAUGUAACGGGGCUAAACCAUGCACCGAAGCUGCGGCAGCGACGCUUAUGCGUUGUUGGGUAGGGGAGCGUUCUGUAAGCCUGUGAAGGUGGCCUGUGAGGGUUGCUGGAGGUAUCAGAAGUGCGAAUGCUGACAUAAGUAACGAUAAAGCGGGUGAAAAGCCCGCUCGCCGGAAGACCAAGGGUUCCUGUCCAACGUUAAUCGGGGCAGGGUGAGUCGACCCCUAAGGCGAGGCCGAAAGGCGUAGUCGAUGGGAAACAGGUUAAUAUUCCUGUACUUGGUGUUACUGCGAAGGGGGGACGGAGAAGGCUAUGUUGGCCGGGCGACGGUUGUCCCGGUUUAAGCGUGUAGGUGUGUGUUCCAGGUAAAUCCGGUUCACUUUAACACUGAGGCGUGAUGACGAGGCACUACGGUGCUGAAGCAACAAAUGCCCUGCUUCCAGGAAAAGCCUCUAAGCAUCAGGUAACAUCAAAUCGUACCCCAAACCGACACAGGUGGUCAGGUAGAGAAUACCAAGGCGCUUGAGAGAACUCGGGUGAAGGAACUAGGCAAAAUGGUGCCGUAACUUCGGGAGAAGGCACGCUGACACGUAGGUGAAGUGAUUUACUCAUGGAGCUGAAGUCAGUCGAAGAUACCAGCUGGCUGCAACUGUUUAUUAAAAACACAGCACUGUGCAAACACGAAAGUGGACGUAUACGGUGUGACGCCUGCCCGGUGCCGGAAGGUUAAUUGAUGGGGUCAGCGCAAGCGAAGCUCCUGAUCGAAGCCCCGGUAAACGGCGGCCGUAACUAUAACGGUCCUAAGGUAGCGAAAUUCCUUGUCGGGUAAGUUCCGACCUGCACGAAUGGCGUAAUGAUGGCCAGGCUGUCUCCACCCGAGACUCAGUGAAAUUGAACUCGCUGUGAAGAUGCAGUGUACCCGCGGCAAGACGGAAAGACCCCGUGAACCUUUACUAUAGCUUGACACUGAACAUUGAGCCUUGAUGUGUAGGAUAGGUGGGAGGCUUUGAAGCGUGGACGCCAGUCUGCGUGGAGCCGACCUUGAAAUACCACCCUUUAAUGUUUGAUGUUCUAACGUGGACCCGUAAUCCGGGUUGCGGACAGUGUCUGGUGGGUAGUUUGACUGGGGCGGUCUCCUCCUAAAGAGUAACGGAGGAGCACGAAGGUUGGCUAAUCCUGGUCGGACAUCAGGAGGUUAGUGCAAUGGCAUAAGCCAGCUUGACUGCGAGCGUGACGGCGCGAGCAGGUGCGAAAGCAGGUCAUAGUGAUCCGGUGGUUCUGAAUGGAAGGGCCAUCGCUCAACGGAUAAAAGGUACUCCGGGGAUAACAGGCUGAUACCGCCCAAGAGUUCAUAUCGACGGCGGUGUUUGGCACCUCGAUGUCGGCUCAUCACAUCCUGGGGCUGAAGUAGGUCCCAAGGGUAUGGCUGUUCGCCAUUUAAAGUGGUACGCGAGCUGGGUUUAGAACGUCGUGAGACAGUUCGGUCCCUAUCUGCCGUGGGCGCUGGAGAACUGAGGGGGGCUGCUCCUAGUACGAGAGGACCGGAGUGGACGCAUCACUGGUGUUCGGGUUGUCAUGCCAAUGGCACUGCCCGGUAGCUAAAUGCGGAAGAGAUAAGUGCUGAAAGCAUCUAAGCACGAAACUUGCCCCGAGAUGAGUUCUCCCUGAGACUUAGAGUCUCCUGAAGGAACGUUGAAGACGACGACGUUGAUAGGCCGGGUGUGUAAGCGCAGCGAUGCGUUGAGCUAACCGGUACUAAUGAACCGUGAGGCUUAACCUUACAACGCCGAAG
RNAcentral lists this ribosomal RNA (2420 nucleotides) under Salmonella enterica subsp. enterica serovar Paratyphi B var. L(+) tartrate +. RNAcentral's name for it is "partial 23S ribosomal RNA". It matches the Rfam family "Bacterial large subunit ribosomal RNA", at positions 541 to 2925 of the family's 2925-position model. The record is from RNAcentral. Lineage: Bacteria; Pseudomonadati; Pseudomonadota; Gammaproteobacteria; Enterobacterales; Enterobacteriaceae.